CUGAAACCGUGCGCUUACAAGCGGUCGGAGCCCUUUAGUGGGGUGACGGCGUGCCUUUUGCAUAAUGAGCCUACGAGUUACACCUACUUGGCAAGGUUAAUCCCGCGAACGGGAGGAGCCGCAGCGAAAGCGAGUCUGAAUAGGGCGCAUUAGUCAGGUGGGGUAGACGCGAAACUUGGUGAUCUACCCAUGGCCAGGUUGAAGUUUUGGUAACACAAAAUGGAGGACCGAACCAGUACACGUUGAAAAGUGUUUGGAUGAG
This 262-nucleotide ribosomal RNA is filed under the name uncultured Symbiodinium. Its description in RNAcentral is "partial Bacterial large subunit ribosomal RNA". It matches the Rfam family "Bacterial large subunit ribosomal RNA", at positions 550 to 808 of the family's 2925-position model. Lineage: Eukaryota; Dinophyceae; Suessiales; Symbiodiniaceae. The record is from RNAcentral.